Transfer RNA from Felis catus (domestic cat), 85 nucleotides. It matches the Rfam family "tRNA". From Rfam's summary of the family: Transfer RNA (tRNA) molecules are approximately 80 nucleotides in length. Their secondary structure includes four short double-helical elements and three loops (D, anti-codon, and T loops). Lineage: Eukaryota; Metazoa; Chordata; Mammalia; Carnivora; Felidae. The record is from Rfam.
GCCUGGGUGGCUCAGUUGGUUAAGCAUCUGACUUCAGCUCAGGUCAAGAUAUCGCGGCCUGUGGGUUCAAGUCCUGCAUUGGGCU